ACUUUUUAUAUUUUUUGUUGUAUUUUUGUUUUUUUUUCUUUUUUUGUGCUUUAUUUAUCUUUUUUCUUCUGCUUUAAUUUUUUUUCUUAUUUUAUUUUUAUUUUUUAUUUCUUUCUUUUUUUAUAGUUUCAUAAAUUUUUGUUAAGUUUUCAAAUUUUUUAUUUUUCUAUCUUUUUUUCUUAUUUUAUCAUUCUCGGUUAUUUUUUAUUGCAUUUUUAUAAUUUUUCAUUAACUUUUUCUCCUUUCAAAUUUUUCUUCACUUUUUUCUUUGUUUUAAAAUUUUCUAUAAAUUUUUUUCUUUUUGUUUUAUUUCAUAUUUUUGCCUCUUCAUUUUUUAUUUUUUUCUUCUUUUUCUCAUUUUUUUCUCAAAUUUUAUUUUAUAUAUUUUGUAUUUUCAUUUUUUAUUUUUUUCUUGCUUUUUCUUAAAUCUUUUUGUUUGCACUUUUUUUUAUUUCUUCUUUAUAAUUUUAAAACCUCAAACUUCUUUUUUUGUGCACAUUCUUUUAUUUUAUUUAUAUUUUUUAUUAACUUUUAUUUUAUUUUUCAUCUUUUUCCUCUAUUUGUUAUAUAUAUAUAUAUUUUUGUUUUCUUUGUACAUUCUAAACUAAAAGUUUUUUCCAUUUUGUAUUUGAAAUUUUUAUUCAUUUUGUCUUUUUAUAUUUUUUUGAUUCGUAAAUUUUUUAUUUUCUUACUUUGUUACUUUUAUUUUUUCCUUUUUUGGUAUUUUAUUUAAUUUUUUCUUUUAUAUUAAUAUUUUCUCUAAUUUAUUUUUUCAUUUAUAUUUUAAAAAUUUUUAUAAAGUUCAAAAUUUUUAUUUUUUCAUUUUCCUAUUUUUUUGUCUAUUUUUUUUUGCUAUUUUUUGUUCUAUUUUAUAAAUUUUCAAUAACUUUUUCCCUUCAAAAUUUUCUUUCUUUUUGCCUUUUCUUUUUUUAUUUGUUUAAUUCUUUCAUUGUUUUAAAAUUAUUUAUAUUUCUUAAGCUUUUUUAUUCCAAAUCUUUUCUUUUCAUUUUUUUCUUAUUUCUUUCUUUUUUUUCACAAAUUUCCUUUCACUUCUUAUUUGCGUUUUUAAAUUCUCAUACUUUUUUUUUUUUGCACUUUCUCCUUUGGUUUUCAUUUUUAUUUUGAAUUAACUUUUCUCUUUUUUAAUUUUUUGCCUUUGACUUUUUAUAUUGUUUUCUCAUUAUGUCUUAUAUGUUUUUCAAUUUUUUGUAUUUUUUGAACUUUUUUUUUUAUUUUGUCAUUCCAUUUCAUUUUUGAAGUUUUUAUUCAAUUUUUGUCUUUUUUAUUUUCUUACUUUUUAUAUUUUUAUUGUAUUUUUGUUCAUCUUUUAUUUUGGUUUAUUUUUUUAUUUUAUCAUUGUUGGUUAUUUUCUAUUGCAUUUUUAUAAUUUUCUUUAACUUUUCUCCUUCAAUUUUCUUCUUUUUUACUUAUUUUUUCAUGUGCUUUCAUAUUUUUUUUUGUUUAUUCACUUUUUUCUUUUUGUUUUAUUUCAUAAUUUUGACUCUUCAUUUUUUAUUUUUUUCUUGUUUUAACUUUUUUUUUUUGCACUUCCUUGUCUUGUUUUUAUUUUUAUUUUGUAUUAACUUUUUCCCUUUGUUAAUUUUUUUAUCUUUGAUUUUUUUAUUUUUUUCUUAUUACUUUUUUUGCUUAUGUUUUCUAAAUUAAUUUUUUCUAUUUUGUAAUCCCUUUUCAUUUUUUAUCUCCUUUUAAUUUUUUAUCUUUCAUUUUUUAUACCUUUAUUUCUUAUUGUUUGUUAUAUUUUUUUUAUUUUUUGUUCGUAUUUUAUAAACUAAUUUUUUUUUACAAUUUUAAAACCUCUAACUUCUUUUUUUGUGCACUUCCUUUUGUUUUUAUUUCUUUUUUUGUUAACUUUUAUUUUAUUUUUUAUCUUUGAUUUUUUAUAUCUUUUUCUUGUAUUUGUUUUUUUUUUCUUUAAACUAAAAGUUUUUUCUGUUUUAUAUUUCAAAUUUCUAUUCAUUUUGUCUUUUUAUAUUUUUUUGAUUUGCUAACUUUUUAUUUUCUUACUUUUUUUUUCAUUUUAUUUUUUUUCUUUUAUAUUACUAUUUUUUAUUUAUAUUUUAAAAAAAUUUUAUAAAAUUUAAAAUUUUUAUUUUUUGAAUCUUUUUUCUUUUUUUCAUUUUUUUUUGUUCUAUGUUGUAAUUUUUCAAUAACUUUUUCCCUUCAAAAUUUUCUUUCUUUUUGCUUUUUUUUUUUUUCAUCUGCUUUCAGUGUUGCUUGUUUUAAUUUUUUUGUUGUUUUAAAAUUUUUUAUAUUUCUUUUUUCCUUUUUUAUUCCAAAUCUUUUGUCUUUUCAUUUUUAUUCUUUUCCUGCUUUCUUAUUUUUUUCACAAAUUUCCUUUCAUUUCUUAUUUGCAUCUUUAAAUUAUUAGACUUUUUUUGUGCACUUUCUUUUGUUUUAUUUUAUUUUUUAUCUUUGAUUUUUAUAUCUUUUUCCUAUAUUUGUUAUAUUUUUUUUUGUUUUUCUUUGUAUAUUCUGAACUAAAAGUUUUUUCUAUUUUGUAUUUGAAAUUUUUAUUCAUUUUCUCUUUUAUAUUUUUUUAUUCGCUAAUUUUUUAAUAUCUUACUUUUUUAUUUUUUGCUUUUUUGGUAUUUUAUUGAAUUUUUUCUUCUAUAUUAAUAUUUUAUCUUAAUUUAUUUUUCCAUUUAUUUUUAUUUAUAUUUUAAAAAAUUUUUAUAAAGUUCAAAUUUUUUUUUUUUUCUUUUUUUUUUUUGCUAUUUUUGUUCUACUUUGUAAUUUUUUAAUAACUUUUUCCCUUCAAAAUUUUCCUUCUUUUUGCUUUUUUUCAUAUGCUUUCAUUUUUACUUGUUUUAAUUUUUUCGUUAUUUUAAAAAUUUUUAUUUUUUUCUUUUUUAUUCCAAAUCUUUUGUCUUUUCAUUUUUAUUCUUUUCUUGCUUUUCUUAUUUUUUUUUUCACAAAUUUCCUUUCAUUUCUUAUUUGCGUUUUUAAAUUCUCAUACUUUUUUUUAUUUUGCAUUAACUUUUCUCUUUUUUAAUUUUUUUUCUCACUUUUUAUAUUGUUUUAUUAUUAGGCUUAUAUGUUUUUCAAUUUUUUUCCUUUUUUAUUUUCUUACUUUUAUAUUUUUUGUUGUAUUUUUGUUUUUUUUCUUUUUUUGUGCUUUAUUUAUCUUUUUUCUUUUGCUUUAAUUUUUUUUCUUAUUUUAUUUUUAUUUUUAUUUCUUUCUUUUUUUAUAGUUUCAUAAAUUUUUGUUAAGUUUUCAAAUUUUUUAUUUUUCUAAUCUUUUUUUCUUGUUUUAUCAUUCUCGGUUAUUUUUUAUUGCAUUUUUAUAAUUUUUCCAUUAACUUUUUCUCCUUUCAAAUUUUUCUUCAUUGUUUUUUUUGUUCACUUUUUUCUUUGUUUUAAAAUUUUCUAUAAAUUUUUUUUUUUUGUUUUAUUUCAUAUUUUUGCCUCUUCAUUUUUUAUUUUUUUCUUCUUUUUCUCAUUUUUUUCUCAAAUUUUAUUUUAUAUAUUUGUAUUUUCAUUUUUUAUUUUUUUCUUGCUUUCUCUUAAAUCUUUUUGUUCGCACUUUUUUUUAUUUCUUCUUUAUAAUUUUAAAACUCAAACUUCUUUUUUGUGCACAUUCUUAUUUAUUUUUCAUCUUAUCAUAUUUUUAUACUUUUAUCCUCUAAUUUGGUUAUAUAUUUUCUCUAUUUUUGUUAUAUAUAAUAUAUUACCAAAAGUUUUGUUUCCAUUUGUACAUUUACUAAAGUUUUUUCCAUUUCGUAAUUUUCUAUUUCUUACUUUGUUACUUUUUAUGUUUCUUCCUUUUUUGGGUAAUUUUAUUUAUUUUUCUUUACAUUAAAUUUAUCUUAUUAAUUUUUUCAUUUAUUUUUUAUUUAUAUUUUAAAAAAUAUUUUAUAUAAGUUCAAAAUUUUUUAUUUUUUCCAUUUUCCCUAUUUUUUUGUUCCUAUUUUUUUUGCUAUUUUUUGUUCUAUUUUAUAAAUUUUUCAAUACUUUUUCCCUUCCAAAAUUUUCUUUUCUUUUUUGCCUUUUUUGUCAAUAUGCUUUUGGUUUUUAAUUUGUUUGUAAUUCUUUCAUUGUUUAAAAUUUAAUUUAUAUUUCUUAAGCUUUUUUAUUCCAAAUCUUUUCUUUUCAUUUUUAUUCUUUUCUUUUUUUCACAAUUUUCCUUUCACUUCUUAUUUGCGUUUUUAAAUUCUCAUACUUUUUUUUUUUUUGCACUUUCUCCUUUGGUUUUCAUUUUAUUUGAAUUAACUUUUCUCUUUUUUAAUUUUUUGCCUUGACUUUUUUAUAUUUUUCUCAUUAUGUCUUAUAUGUUUUUCAAUUUUUUGUAUUUUUUGAACUUUUUUUUUAUUUGUAUUCCAUUCAUUUUUAAGUUUUUAUUCAAUUUUUUUUUUUAUUUUCUUACUUUUUAUAUUUUUAUUGUAUUUUUGUUCAUCUUUUAUUUUGGUUUAUUUUUUAUUUUAUCAUUGUUGGUUAUUUUCUAUUGGCAUUUUUAUAAUUUUUCUUUAACUUUUUCUCCUUUCAAAUUUUUCUUCUUUUUUUACUUAUUUUUUCAUGUGCUUUCAUAUUUUUUUUGUUUUCACUUUUUUCUUUUUGUUUUAUUUCAUAAUUUUGACUCUUCAUUUUUUAUUUUUUUUCUUGUUUUAACUUUUUUUUUUUUGCACUUCCUUGUCUUGUUUUUAUUUUUAUUUUGUAUUAACUUUUUCCCUUUGUUAAUUUUUUCUCUUUGAUUUUUUUUAUUUUUUUCUUAUUACUUUUUUGCUUAUGUUUUCUAAAAUUAAUUUUUUCUAUUUUGUAAUCCCUUUUCAUUUUUUAUCUCCUUUAAUUUUUUAUCUUUCAUUUUUUAUACCUUUAUUUCUUAUUGUUUGUUAUAUUUUUUUAUUUUUUGUUCGUAUUUUAUAAACUAAUUUUUUUUUACAAAUUUUAAAACCUCUAACUUCUUUUUUUGUGCACUUCCUUUUGUUUUUAUUUCUUUUUUUGUUAACUUUUAUUUUAUUUUUUAUCUUUGAUUUUUAUAUCUUUUUCUUGUAUUUGUUUUUUUUUUUCUUUAAACUAAAAGUUUUUCUGUUUUAUAUUUCAAAUUUCUAUUCAUUUUGUCUUUUUAUAUUUUUUUGAUUUGCUAACUUUUUAUUUCUUACUUUUAUUUUUUUCCAUUUUGGUAUUUUAUUUAUUUUUCUUUUAUAUUACUAUUUUUUAUUUAUAUUUUUAAAAAUUUUAUAAAAUUUAAAAUUUUUAUUUUUUUGAAUCUUUUUUCUUUUUUCAUUUCUUUUUUUGUUCUAUGUUGUAAUUUUCAAUAACUUUUUCCCUUCAAAAUUUUCUUUCUUUUUGCUUUUUUUUUUUUUCAUCUGCUUUCAGUGUUGCUUGUUUUAAUUUUUUGUUGUUUUAAAAUUUUUUAUAUUUCUUUUUUCCUUUUUUAUUCCAAAUCUUUUGUCUUUUCAUUUUUAUUCUUUUCUUGCUUUCUUAUUUUUUCACAAAUUCCUUUCAUUUCUUAUUUGCAUCUUUAAAUUAUUAGACUUUUUUUGUGCACUUUCUUUUGUUUUUUAUUUUAUUUUUUAUCUUUGAUUUUUAUAUCUUUUUCCUAUAUUUGUUAUAUUUUUUUUGUUUUUCUUUGUAUAUUCUGAACUAAAAGUUUUUCUAUUUUGUAUUUGAAAUUUUUAUUCAUUUUUCUUUUGUAUUUUUUUAUUCGCUAAUUUUUUAAUAUCUUACUUUUUAUUUUUUGCUUUUUGGGUAUUUAUUUAAUUUUUUCUUCUAUAUAAUAUUUUAUCUUAAUUUAUUUUUCCAUUUAUUUUUAUUUAUAUUUUAAAAAAUUUUUAUAAAAGUUCAAAAUUUUUAUUUUUAUUUUUUGAUCUUUUUCUUUUAUUAUUUUUCUUGCUAUUUUUGUCCUACUUUGUAAUUUUUUAAUAACUUUUCCCUUCAAAAUUUUCCUUCUUUUUACUUUUUUUUCAUAUGCUUUCAUUUUUACUUGUUUUAAUUUUUUCAUUAUUUUAAAAAUUUUUAUUUUUUCUGUUUUUUAUUCCAAAUCGUUUGUCUUUUCAUUUUUAUUCUUUUCUUGCUUUUCUUAUUUUUUUUUCACAAAUUUCCUUUCAUUUCUUAUUUGCGUUUUUAAAUUCUCAUACUUUUUUUUAUUUUGCAUUAACUUUUCUCUUUUUUAAUUUUUUUUCUCACUUUUUAUAUUGUUUUAUUAUUAGGCUUAUAUGUUUUUCAAUUUUUUUCCUUUUUUAUUUUCUUACUUUUUAUAUUUUUUGUUGUAUUUUUGUUUUUUUUCUUUUUUUGUGCUUUAUUUAUCUUUUUUCUUUUGCUUUAAUUUUUUUUUCUUUCUUUUUUUAUAGUUUCAUAAAUUUUUGUUAAGUUUUCAAAUUUUUUAUUUUUCUAUCUUUUUUUCUUAUUUUAUCAUUCUCGGUUAUUUUUUAUUGCAUUUUUAUAAUUUUUCAUUAACUUUUUCUCCUUUCAAAUUUUUCUUCUUUUUUUUUAUGUGCUUUCAUUUUUUUUUGUUCACUUUUUUCUUUGUUUUAAAAUUUUCUAUAAAUUUUUUUCUUUUGUUUUAUUUCAUAUUUUUGCCUCUUCAUUUUUUAUUUUUUUCUUCUUUUCUCAUUUUUUUCUCAAAUUUUAUUUUAUAUAUUUUGUAUUUUCAUUUUUUAUUUUUUUCUUGCUUUCUCUUAAAUCUUUUGUUCGCACUUUUUUUAUUUCUUCUUUAUAAUUUUAAAACCUCCAAACUUUCUUUUUUUGUGCAGCAUUCAUUUAUUUUUAAUUUAUAUUGUGUUUUAUUAUACUUUUAUUUUAUUCUUUUCAUCUUUUCCUCUAUUUGUUAUAUAUAUAUAUAUAUAUUAUUGUUUUCUUUGUGCAUUCUAAACUAAAAGUUUUUUCCGAUUUUGUAUUUGAAAUUUUAUUCAUUUUGCCUUUUUUAUAUUUUUUGAUUCGUAAAUUUUUAUUUCUUACUUUGUUUACUUUUUAUUUUUAUUCCCUUUUUCGGUAUUUUAUUUUAUUUUUUCCUUUAUAUUAAUAUUUUCUCUUAAUUUAUUUUUAUUUAUAUUUUAAAAUUUUUAUAAGUUCAUUUUUCAUUUUUCUAUUUUCCUAUUUUUGUCUAUUUUUUUUUGCUAUUUUUUGUUCCUAUUUAUAAAUUUUUCAAUAACUUUUUCCCUUCAAAAUUUUCUUUCUUUUUGCCUUUUUUUCAUAUGCUUUUGUUUUUAUUUGUUUUAAUUCUUUCAUUGUUUUAAAAUUAUUUAUAUUUCUUAAGCUUUUUUUAUUCCAAAUCUUUUCUUUUCAUUUUUAUUUUUACUUUUCUUUUUUUUUUUCACAAAUUUCCUUUCACUUCUUAUUUGCGUUUUUAAAUUCUCAUACUUUUUUUUUUUUGCACUUUCUCCUUUGGUUUUCAUUUUUAUUUUGAAUUAACUUUUCUCUUUUUUAAUUUUUUGCCUUUGACUUUUUAUAUUGUUUUCUCAUUAUGUCUUAUAUGUUUUUCAAUUUUUUGUAUUUUUUGAACUUUUUUUUUUUUUGUCAUUCCAUUUCAUUUUUUUUUUUAUUCAUUUUGUCUUUUUAUUUUCUUACUUUUUAUAUUUUUAUUGUAUUUUUGUUCAUCUUUUUAUUUUGGUUUAUUUUUUUAUUUUAUCAUUGUUGGUUAUUUUCUAUUGCAUUUUUAUAAUUUUUCUUUAACUUUUUCUCCUUUCAAAUUUUUCUUCUUAUUUUUUCACGUGCUUUCAUAUUUUUUUUGUUUUCACUUUUUUCUUUUUGUUUUAUUUCAUAAUUUUGACUCUUCAUUUUUUAUUUUUUUCUUGUUUUAACUUUUUUUUUUGCACUUCCUUGUCUUGUUUUUAUUUUUAUUUUGUAUUAACUUUUUCCCUUUGUUAAUUUUUUGUCUUUGAUUUUUUUUAUUUUUUUCUUAUUACUUUUCUUGCUUAUGUUUUCUAAAUUAAUUUUUUCUAUUUUGUAAUCCCUUUUCAUUUUUUAUACCUUUAUUUCUUAUUGUUUGUUAUAUUUUUUUUUUUUUGUUCGUAUUUUAUAAACUAAUUUUUUUUUACAAUUUUAAAACCUCUAACUUCUUUUUUUGUGCACUUCCUUUUGUUUUUAUUCUUUUUUUGUUAACUUUUAUUUUAUUUUUUAUCUUUGAUUUUUUAUAUCUUUUUCUUGUAUUUGUUUUUUUUUUUCUUUAAACUAAAAGUUUUUUCUGUUUUAUAUUUCAAAUUUCUAUUCAUUUUGUCUUUUUAUAUUUUUUUGAUUUGCUAACUUUUUAUUUUCUUACUUUUUUUUUUUUUCCAUUUUUGGUAUUUUAUUUUAUUUUUUCUUUUAUAUUACUAUUUUUUAUUUAUAUUUUAAAAAAUUUUAUAAAAUUUAAAAUUUUUAUUUUUUGAAUCUUUUUUCUUUUUUCAUUUUCAUUUUUUUGUUCUAUGUUGUAAUUUUUCAAUAACUUUUUCCCUUCAAAAUUUUCUUUCUUUUUGCUUUUUUUUUUUCAUCUGCUUUCAGUGUUGCUUGUUUUAAUUUUUUUGUUGUUUUAAAAUUUUUUAUAUUUCUUUUUUCCUUUUUUAUUCCAAAUCUUUUGUCUUUUCAUUUUUAUUCUUUUCUUGCUUUUCUUAUUUUUUUCACAAAUUUCCUUUCAUUUCUUAUUUGCAUCUUUAAAUUAUUAGACUUUUUUUGUGCACUUCUUUUGUUUUUAUUUUAUUUUUUAUCUUUGAUUUUUAUAUUUUUUCCUAUAUUUGUUAUAUUUUUUUUUUGUUUUUCUUUGUAUAUUCUGAACUAAAAGUUUUUUCUAUUUUGUAUUUGAAAUUUUUAUUCAUUUUUCUUUUAUAUUUUUUUAUUCGCUAAUUUUUUAAUAUCUUACUUUUUUAUUUUGCUUUUUUGGUAUUUUAUUGAAUUUUUUCUUCUAUAUUAAUAUUUUAUCUUAAUUUAUUUUUCCAUUUAUUUUUAUUUAUAUUUUAAAAAAUUUUUAUAAAGUUCAAAAUUUUUUUUUUUAUUUUCUUUUUUUUUUUGCUAUUUUUGUUCUACUUUGUAAUUUUUUAAUAACUUUUUCCCUUCAAAAUUUUCCUUCUUUUUGCUUUUUUCAUAUGCUUUCAUUUUUACUUGUUUUUAUUUUUUCGUUGUUUUAAAAAUUUUUAUUUUUUUUUUUUUAUUCCAAAUCUUUUGUCUUUUCAUUUUUAUUCUUUUCUUGCUUUUCUUUUUUUUUUUCACAAAUUUCCUUUCAUUUCUUAUUUGCGUUUUUAAAUUCUCGUACUUUUUUUAUUUUGCAUUAACUUUCUCUUUUUUAAUUUUUUUUCUCACUUUUUAUAUUGUUUUAUUAUUAGGCUUAUAUGUUUUUCAAUUUUUUUCCUUUUUUAUUUUCUUACUUUUUAUAUUUUUUGUUGUAUUUUUGUUUUUUUUCUUUUUUUGUGCUUUAUUUAUCUUUUCUUUUUGCUUUAAUUUUUUUCUUUCUUUUUUUUAUAGUUUCAUAAAUUUUUGUUAAGUUUUCAAAUUUUUUAUUUUUCUAUCUUUUUUUCUUAUUUUAUCAUUCUCGGUUAUUUUUUAUUGCAUUUUUAUAAUUUUUCAUUAACUUUUUCUCCUUUCAAAUUUUUCUUCUUUUUUUUUAUGUGCUUUCAUUUUUUUUUGUUCACUUUUUUCUUUGUUUUAAAAUUUUCUAUAAAUUUUUUUCUUUUGUUUUAUUUCAUAUUUUUGCCUCUUCAUUUUUUAUUUUUUUCUUCUUUUUCUCAUUUUUUUCUCAAAUUUUAUUUUAUAUAUUUUGUAUUUUCAUUUUUUAUUUUUUUCUUGCUUUCUCUUAAAUCUUUUUGUUCGCACUUUUUUUAUUUCUUCUUUAUAAUUUUAAAACCUCAAACUUUUUUUUGUGCACAUUCUUUUAUUUUAUUUAUAUUUUUUAUUAACUUUUAUUUUAUUUUCAUCUUUUUCCUCUAUUUGUAUAUAUAUAUAUAUAUAUAUAUUUUUUGUUUUCUUUGUGCAUUCUAAACUAAAAGUUUUUUCCAUUUUGUAUUUGAAAUUUUUAUUCAUUUUGUCUUUUUAUAUUUUUUUGAUUCGUAAAUUUUUUAUUUUCUUACUUUGUUACUUUUUAUUUUUUUCCUUUUUUGGUAUUUUAUUUAAUUUUUUCUUUUAUAUUAAUAUUUUCUCUUAAUUUAUUUUUUAUUUAUAUUUUAAAAAAUUUUUAUAAAGUUCAAAAUUUUUUAUUUUUUCAUUUUCCUAUUUUUUUGUCUAUUUUUUUUGCUUUUUUUGUUCUAUUUUAUAAAUUUUCAAUAACUUUUUCCCUUCAAAAUUUUCUUUCUUUUUGCCUUUUUUUCAUAUGCUUUUGUUUUUAUUUGUUUUAAUUCUUUCAUUGUUUUAAAAUUAUUUAUAUUUCUUAAGCUUUUUUUAUUCCAAAUCUUUUCUUUUCAUUUUUAUUCUUUUCUUACUUUUCUUUUUUUUUUUCACAAAUUUCCUUUCACUUCUUAUUUGCGUUUUUAAAUUCUCAUACUUUUUUUUUUUUUGCACUUUCUCCUUUGGUUUUCAUUUUUAUUUUGAAUUAACUUUUCUCUUUUUUAAUUUUUUGCCUUUGACUUUUUAUAUUGUUUUCUCAUUAUGUCUUAUAUGUUUUUCAAUUUUUUGUAUUUUUUGAACUUUUUUUUUUUUUGUCAUUCCAUUUCAUUUUUUUUUUUUUCAAUUUUGUCUUUUUUAUUUUCUUACUUUUUAUAUUUUUAUUGUAUUUUUGUUCAUCUUUUAUUUUGGUUUAUUUUUUUAUUUUAUCAUUGUUGGUUAUUUUCUAUUGCAUUUUUAUAAUUUUUCUUUAACUUUUUCUCCUUUCAAAUUUUUCUUCUUUUUUUACUUAUUUUUUCACGUGCUUUCAUAUUUUUUUUGUUUUCACUUUUUUCUUUGUUUUUUUCUAUAAACUUUUUUCUUUUUGUUUUAUUUCAUAAUUUUGACUCUUCAUUUUUUAUUUUUUUCUUGUUUUAACUUUUUUUUUUUGCACUUCCUUGUCUUGUUUUUAUUUUUAUUUUGUAUUAACUUUUUCCCUUUGUUAAUUUUUUUGUCUUUGAUUUUUUUUAUUUUUUUCUUAUUACUUUUUUGCUUAUGUUUUCUAAAUUAAUUUUUUCUAUUUUGUAAUCCCUUUUCAUUUUUUAUCUCCUUUUAACUUUUUAUCUUUCAUUUUUUAUACCUUUAUUUCUUAUUGUUCGUUAUAUUUUUUUUUCUUUUUUGUUCGUAUUUUAUAAACUAAUUUUUUUUUACAAUUUUAAAACCUCUAACUUCUUUUUUUGUGCACUUCCUUUUGUUUUUAUUUCUUUUUUUGUUAACUUUUAUUUUAUUUUUUGUCUUUGAUUUUUUAUAUCUUUUUCUUGUAUUUGUUUUUUUUUUCCUUUAAACUAAAAGUUUUUUCUGUUUUAUAUUUCAAAUUUCUAUUCAUUUUGUCUUUUUAUAUUUUUUUGAUUUGCUAACUUUUUAUUUUCUUACUUUUUUUUUUUUCCAUUUUUGGUAUUUUAUUUUAUUUUUCUUUUAUAUUACUAUUUUUUAUUUAUAUUUUAAAAAUUUUAUAAAAUUUAAAAUUUUAUUUUUUGAAUCUUUUUUCUUUUUUCAUUUUCAUUUUUUUUGUUCUAUGUUGUAAUUUUUAAAUAACUUUUUCCCUUCAAAAUUUUCUUUCUUUUUGCUUUUUUUUUUUUCAUCUGCUUUCAGUGUUGCUUCUUUUUAAUUUUUUUGUUGUUUUAAAAUUUUUUAUAUUUCUUUUUCCUUUUUUAUUCCAAAUCUUUUGUCUUUUCAUUUUUAUUCUUUUCUUGCUUUUCUUAUUUUUUUCACAAAUUUCCUUUCAUUUCUUAUUUGCAUCUUUAAAUUAUUAGACUUUUUUUGUGCACUUUCUUUUGUUUUAUUUUAUUUUUUAUCUUUGAUUUUUAUAUCUUUUUCCUAUAUUUGUUAUAUUUUUUUGUUUUUCUUUGUAUAUUCUGAACUAAAAGUUUUUUCUAUUUUGUAUUUGAAAUUUUUAUUCAUUUUUCUUUUAUAUUUUUUUAUUCGCUAAUUUUUUAAUAUCUUACUUUUUUAUUUUUUGCUUUUUUGGUAUUUUAUUGAAUUUUUUCUUCUAUAUUAAUAUUUUAUCUUAAUUUAUUUUUCCAUUUAUUUUUAUUUAUAUUUUAAAAAAUUUUUAUAAAGUUCAAAAUUUUUUUUUUUUUUUUUUUUUUUUUUUGCUAUUUUUGUUCUACUUUGUAAUUUUUUAAUAACUUUUUCCCUUCACAAUUUUCCUUCUUUUUGCUUUUCUUUUCAUAUGCUUUCAUUUUUACUUGUUUUUAUUUUUUCGUUGUUUUAAAAAUUUUUAUUUUUUUUUUUUUAUUCCAAAUCUUUUGUCUUUUCAUUUUUAUUCUUUUCUUGCUUUCUUUUUUUUUUUUUCACAAAUUUCCUUUCAUUUCUUAUUUGCGUUUUUAAAUUCUCAUACUUUUUUUAUUUUGCAUUAACUUUUCUCUUUUUUAAUUUUUUUUCUCACUUUUUAUAUUGUUUUAUUAUUAGGCUUAUAUGUUUUUCAAUUUUUUCCUUUUUUAUUUUCUUACUUUUUAUAUUUUUUGUUGUAUUUUUGUUUUUUUUUCUUUUUUUGUGCUUUAUUUAUCUUUUUUCUUUUGCUUUAAUUUUUUUUCUUUCUUUUUUUUAUAGUUUCAUAAAUUUUUGUUAAGUUUUCAAAUUUUUUAUUUUUCUAUCUUUUUUUCUUAUUUUAUCAUUCUCGGUUAUUUUUUAUUGCAUUUUUAUAAUUUUUCAUUAACUUUUUCUCCUUUCAAAUUUUCUUCUUUUUUUUUAUGUGCUUUCAUUUUUUUUUGUUCACUUUUUUCUUUGUUUUAAAAUUUUCUAUAAAUUUUUUCUUUUUGUUUUAUUUCAUAUUUUUGCCUCUUCAUUUUUUAUUUUUUUCUUCUUUUCUCAUUUUUUCUCAAAUUUUAUUUUAUAUAUUUUGUAUUUUCAUUUUUUAUUUUUUUCUUGCUUUCUCUUAAAUCUUUUUGUUCGCACUUUUUUUUAUUUCUUCUUUAUAAUUUUAAAACCUCAAACUUCUUUUUUUGUGCACAUUCUUUUAUUUUUAUUUAUAUUUUUUAUUAACUUUUAUUUUAUUUUUCAUCUUUUUCCUCUAUUUGUUAUAUAUAUAUAUAUAUAUAUUUUUUGUUUUCUUUGUGCAUUCUAAACUAAAAGUUUUUUCCAUUUGUAUUUGAAAUUUUUAUUCAUUUUGUCUUUUUAUAUUUUUUGAUUCGUAAAUUUUUUAUUUUCUUACUUUGUUACUUUUAUUUUUUUUCCUUUUUUGGUAUUUUAUUUAAUUUUUUCUUUUAUAUUAAUAUUUUCUCUUAAUUUAUUUUUUAUUUAUAUUUUAAAAAAUUUUUAUAAAGUUCAAAAUUUUUUAUUUUUUCAUUUUCCUAUUUUUUUGUCUAUUUUUUUGCUAUUUUUUGUUCUAUUUUAUAAAUUUUCAAUAACUUUUUCCCUUCAAAAUUUUCUUUCUUUUUGCCUUUUUUUCAUAUGCUUUUGUUUUUAUUUGUUUUAAUUCUUUCAUUGUUUUAAAAUUAUUUAUAUUUCUUAAGCUUUUUUUAUUCCAAAUCUUUUCUUUUCAUUUUUAUUCUUUUUACUUUUCUUUUUUUUUCACAAAUUUCCUUUCACUUCUUAUUUGCGUUUUUAAAUUCUCACAUUUUUUUUUUUUUGCACUUCUCUCCUUUGGUUUUCAUUUUUAUUUUGAAUUAACUUUUCUCUUUUUAAUUUUUUGCCUUUGACUUUUUAUAUUGUUUUCUCAUUAUGUCUUAUAUGUUUUUCAAUUUUUUGUAUUUUUUGAACUUUUUUUUUAUUUUGUCAUUCAUUUCAUUUUUGAAGUUUUAUCAAUUUUGUCUUUUUUAUUUUCUUACUUUUUAUAUUUUAUUGUAUUUUGUUCAUCUUUUAUUUUGGUUUAUUUUUUUAUUUUAUCAUUGUUGGUUAUUUUCUAUUGCAUUUUUAUAAUUUUUCUUUAACUUUUUCUCCUUUCAAAUUUUUCUUCUUUUACUUAUUUUCACGUGCUUUCAUAUUUUUUUUGUUUUCACUUUUUUCUUUUUGUUUUAUUUCAUAAUUUUGACUCUUCAUUUUUUUUUUUUCUUGUUUUAACUUUUUUUUUGCACUUCCUUGUCUUGUUUUUAUUUUUAUUUUGUAUUAACUUUUUCCCUUUGUUAAUUUUUUUGUCUUGAUUUUUUUAUUUUUUUCUUAUUACUUUUUGCUUAUGUUUUCUAAAUUAAUUUUUUCUAUUUUGUAAUCCCUUUUCAUUUUUUAUACCUUUAUUUCUUAUUGUUCGUUAUAUUUUUUUUCUUUUUUGUUCGUAUUUUAUAAACUAAUUUUUUUUUACAAUUUUAAAACCUCUAACUUCUUUUUUUGUGCACUUCCUUUUGUUUUUAUUCUUUUUUUGUUAACUUUUAUUUUAUUUUUAUCUUUGAUUUUUUAUAUCUUUUUCUUGUAUUUGUUUUUUUUUUCUUUAAACUAAAAGUUUUUUCUGUUUUAUAUUUCAAAUUUCUAUUCAUUUUGUCUUUUUAUAUUUUUUUGAUUUGCUAACUUUUUAUUUUCUUACUUUUUUUUUCCAUUUUUGGUAUUUUAUUUUAUUUUUUCUUUUAUAUUACUAUUUUUUAUUUAUAUUUUAAAAUUUUUAUAAAAUUUAAAAUUUUAUUUUUUGAAUCUUUUUUCUUUUUUCAUUUUCAUUUUUUUUGUUCUUGUAAUUUUUCAAUAACUUUUUCCCUUCAAAAUUUUCUUUCUUUUUGCUUUUUUUUUUCAUCUGCUUUCAGUGUUGCUUUUUAAUUUUUUGUUGUUUUAAAAUUUUUUAUAUUUCUUUUUCCUUUUUAUUCCAAAUCUUUUGUCUUUUCAUUUUUAUUCUUUUCUUGCUUUUCUUAUUUUUUUCACAAAUUUCCUUUCAUUUCUUAUUUGCAUCUUUAAAUUAUUAGACUUUUUUGUGCACUUUCUUUUGUUUUUAUUUUAUUUUUUAUCUUUGAUUUUAUAUCUUUCCUAUAUUUGUUAUAUUUUUUUUGUUUUUCUUUGCAUAUUCUGAACUAAAAGUUUUUUCUAUUUUGUAUUUGAAAUUUUUAUUCAUUUUCUCUUUUAUUUUUUUAUUCGCUAAUUUUUUAAUAUCUUACUUUUUAUUUUUUGCUUUUUUGGUAUUUUAUUGAAUUUUUUCUUCUAUAUUAAUAUUUUAUCUUAAUUUAUUUUUCCAUUUAUUUUUAUUUAUAUUUUAAAAAAUUUUUAUAAAGUUCAAAAUUUUUUUUUAUUUUUUUUUUUCUUUUUUUUUUUGCUAUUUUUGUUCUACUUUGUAAUUUUUUAAUAACUUUUUCCCUUCAAAAUUUCCUUCUUUUUGCUUUUUUCAUAUGCUUUCAUUUUUACUUGUUUUAAUUUUUUCGUUAUUUUAAAAAUUUUUUUUUUUUGUUUUUAUUCCAAAUCUUUUGUCUUUUCAUUUUAUUCUUUUCUUGCUUUUCUUUUUUUUUUUUUCACAAAUUUCCUUUCAUUUCUUAUUUGCGUUUUUAAAUUCUCAUACUUUUUUUAUUUUGCAUUAACUUUUCUCUUUUUUAAUUUUUUUCUCACUUUUUAUAUUGUUUUAUUAUUAGGCUUAUAUGUUUUUCAAUUUUUUUCCUUUUUAUUUUCUUAUUUUUAUAUUUUUUGUUGUAUUUUUGUUUUUUUUCUUUUUUGUGCUUUAUUUAUCUUUUUUCUUUUGCUUUAAUUUUUUCUUUUCUUUUUUUAUAGUUUCAUAAAUUUUUGUUAAGUUUUCAAAUUUUUUAUUUUUCUAUCUUUUUUUCUUAUUUUAUCAUUCUCGGUUAUUUUUAUUGCAUUUUUAUAAUUUUUCAUUAACUUUUUCUCCUUUCAAAUUUUUCUUCUUUUUUUUUAUGUGCUUUCAUUUUUUUUUGUUCACUUUUUUCUUUGUUUAAAAUUUUCUAUAAAUUUUUUUCUUUUUGUUUUAUUUCAUAUUUUUGCCUCUUCAUUUUUAUUUUUUUCUUCUUUUCUCAUUUUUUUCUCAAAUUUUAUUUUAUAUAUUUUGUAUUUUCAUUUUUAUUUUUUUCUUGCUUUCUCUUAAAUUUUUUGUUCGCACUUUUUUUUAUUUCUUCUUUAUAAUUUUAAAACCUCAAACUUCUUUUUUGUGCACAUUCUUUUAUUUUUAUUUAUAUUUUUUAUUAACUUUUAUUUUUUCAUCUUUUUCCUCUAUUGUCGUAUAUAUAUUAUAUAUUUUUUGUUUUCUUUGUGCAUUCUAAACUAAAAGUUUUUUCCAUUUUGUAUUUGAAAUUUUUAUCAUUUUGUCUUUUUAUAUUUUUUUGAUUCGUAAAUUUUUUAUUUUCUUACUUUGUUACUUUUUAUUUUUUCUUUUUGUAUUUUAUUUAAUUUUCUUUUAUAUUAUAUUUUUCUUAAUUUAUUUUUUAUUUAUAUUUUUAAAAAUUUUUAUAAAGUUCAAAAAUUUUUAUUUUUUCAUUUCCUAUUUUUUUGUCUAUUUUUUUUGCUAUUUUUUUCUAUUUUAUAAAUUUUCAAUAACUUUUUCCCUUCAAAAUUUUCUUUCUUUUUGCCUUUUUUUCAUAUGCUUUUGUUUUUAUUUGUUUUAAUUCUUCAUUGUUUUAAAAUUAUUUAUAUUCUUAAGCUUUUUUAUUCCAAAUCUUUUCUUUUCAUUUUUAUUUUUUCUUACUUUCUUUUUUUUUUCACAAAUUUCCUUCACUUCUUAUUUGCGUUUUUAAAUUCUCACACUUUUUUUUUUUUUUGCACUUUCUUCCUUUGGUUCAUUUUUAUUUUGAAUUAACUUUUCUCUUUUUAAUUUUUUGCCUUUGACUUUUUAUAUUGUUUUCUCAUUAUGUCUUAUAUGUUUUUAAUUUUUUGUAUUUUUUGAACUUUUUUUUUUUAUUUUGUAUUCCAUUUAUUUUUGGAAGUUUUAUUCAAUUUUUGUCUUUUUUAUUUCUACUUUUUAUAUUUUAUUUUGUUCAUCUUUUAUUUUGGUUUAUUUUUUUAUUUUAUCAUUGUUGGUUAUUUUCUAUUGCAUUUUUAUAAUUUUUCUUUAACUUUUUCUCCUUUCAAAUUUUUCUUCUUUUUUUACUUAUUUUUUCACGUGCUUUCAUAUUUUUUGUUUUCACUUUUUUCUUUUUGUUUUAUUUCAUAAUUUUGACUCUUCAUUUUUUAUUUUUUUCUUGUUUUAACUUUUUUUUUUGCACUUCCUUGUCUUGUUUUUAUUUUUAUUUUGUAUUAACUUUUUCCCUUUGUUAAUUUUUUGUCUUUGAUUUUUUUAUUUUUUUCUUAUUACUUUUUUGCUUAUGUUUUCUAAAUUAAUUUUUUCUAUUUUGUAAUCCCUUUUCAUUUUUUAUACCUUUAUUUCUUAUUGUUUGUUAUAUUUUUUUUUUUUUUUGUUCGUAUUUUAUAAACUAAUUUUUUUUUUACAAUUUUAAAACCUCUAACUUCUUUUUUUGUGCACUUCCUUUUGUUUUUAUUUCUUUUUUUGUUAACUUUUAUUUUAUUUUUUAUCUUUGAUUUUUUAUAUCUUUUUCUUGUAUUUGUUUUUUUUUUCUUUAAACUAAAAGUUUUUUCUGUUUUAUAUUUCAAAUUUCUAUUCAUUUUGUCUUUUUAUAUUUUUUUGAUUUGCUAACUUUUUAUUUUCUUACUUUUUUUUUUUUUCCAUUUUUGGUAUUUUAUUUUAUUUUUUCUUUUAUAUUACUAUUUUUUAUUUAUAUUUUAAAAUUUUAUAAAAUUUAAAAUUUUAUUUUUUGAAUCUUUUUUCUUUUUUCAUUUUCAUUUUUUUUGUUCUAUGUUGUAAUUUUUCAAUAACUUUUUCCCUUCAAAAUUUUCUUUCUUUUUGCUUUUUUUUUUUUUCAUCUGCUUUCAGUGUUGCUUGUUUUAAUUUUUUUGUUGUUUUAAAAUUUUUUAUAUUUCUUUUUCCUUUUUUAUUCCAAAUCUUUUGUCUUUUCAUUUUUAUUCUUUUCUUGCUUUUCUUAUUUUUUUCACAAAUUUCCUUUCAUUUCUUAUUUGCAUCUUUAAAUUAUUAGACUUUUUUUGUGCACUUUCUUUUGUUUUUAUUUUAUUUUUUAUCUUUGAUUUUUUAUAUCUUUUUCCUAUAUUUGUUAUAUUUUUGUUGUUUUUCUUUGUAUGUUCUGAACUAAAAGUUUUUUCUAUUUUGUAUUUGAAAUUUUUAUUCAUUUUCUCUUUUGUAUUUUUUUAUUCGCUAAUUUUUUAAUAUCUUACUUUUUUAUUUUUUGCUUUUUUGGUAUUUUAUUUAAUUUUUUCUUCCAUAUUAAUAUUUUAUCUUAAUUUAUUUUUCCAUUUAUUUUUAUUUAUAUUUUAAAAAAUUUUUAUAAAGUUCAAAAUUUUUUUUUUUUAUUUUUUUUUUUUUUUUUAUUUUUGUUCUACUUUGUAAUUUUUUAAUAACUUUUUCCCUUCAAAAUUUUCCUUCUUUUUGCUUUUUUUCAUAUGCUUUCAUUUUUACUUGUUUUAAUUUUUUCGUUAUUUUAAAAAUUUUUAUUUUUUUUUUUUUUCCAAAUCUUUUGUCUUUUCAUUUUUAUUCUUUUCUUGCUUUUCUUUUUUUUUUUUCACAAAUUUCCUUUCAUUUCUUAUUUGCGUUUUUAAAUUCUCAUACUUUUUUUAUUUUGCAUUAACUUUUCUCUUUUUUAAUUUUUUUUCUCACUUUUUAUAUUGUUUUAUUAUUAGGCUUAUAUGUUUUUCAAUUUUUUUCCUUUUUUAUUUUCUUACUUUUUAUAUUUUUUGUUGUAUUUUUGUUUUUUUUUCUUUUUUUGUGCUUUAUUUAUCUUUUUUCUUUUGCUUUAAUUUUUUUUCUUUCUUUUUUUAGUUUCAUAAAUUUUUGUUAAGUUUUCAAAUUUUUUAUUUUUCUAUCUUUUUUUCUUAUUUUAUCAUUCUCGGUUAUUUUUUAUUGCAUUUUUAUAAUUUUUCAUUAACUUUUUCUCCUUUCAAAUUUUUCUUCUUUUUUUUUAUGUGCUUUCAUUUUUUUUUUGUUCACUUUUUUCUUUGUUUUAAAAUUUUCUAUAAAUUUUUUUCUUUUUGUUUUAUUUCAUAUUUUUGCCUCUUCAUUUUUUAUUUUUUUUCUCAAAUUUUAUUUUAUAUAUUUUGUAUUUUCAUUUUUUAUUUUUUUCUUGCUUUUUCUUAAAUCUUUUUGUUUGCACUUUUUUUUUAUUUCUUCUUUAUAAUUUUAAAACCUCAAACUUCUUUUUUUGUGCACAUUCUUUUAUUUUUAUUUUUAUUUUUAUU
Molecule: long non-coding RNA, 19092 nt
Filed under: Durio zibethinus
Lineage: Eukaryota; Viridiplantae; Streptophyta; Magnoliopsida; Malvales; Malvaceae
Description: long non-coding RNA (DZIB_LNC001164)
Source: RNAcentral